This 301-nucleotide ribosomal RNA is filed under the name uncultured bacterium. Its description in RNAcentral is "partial 16S ribosomal RNA". It matches the Rfam family "Bacterial small subunit ribosomal RNA", at positions 509 to 807 of the family's 1533-position model. The record is from RNAcentral.
CAGUAGCCGCGGUAAUACAGAGGGUGCAAGCGUUAAUCGGAGUUACUGGGCGUAAAGGGCGCGUAGGCGGUUAUAUAAGUGAGAUGUGAAAUCCCUGGGCUUAACCUAGGAACUGCAUCUUAUACUGUAUGGCUAGAGUAUUGUAGAGGGUAGUGGAAUUUCCGGUGUAGCGGUGAAAUGCGUAGAGAUCGGAAGGAACACCUGUGGCGAAAGCGGCUCACUGGACCAUAACUGACGCUGAGGCACGAAAGCUAGGGGAGUAAACAGGAUUAGAUACCCCAGUAGUCCCUGUCUCUUAUAC